Molecule: long non-coding RNA, 484 nt
Organism: Daktulosphaira vitifoliae (grape phylloxera)
Lineage: Eukaryota; Metazoa; Arthropoda; Insecta; Hemiptera; Phylloxeridae
Exons: 2
Source: RefSeq, a predicted model, not a curated record
AAAAACAAUUGUUCAUUAAUUAACUAAAACUAAGAGAAAAAAAUGAAAUUUUAAUCAGUGAAAUCAGUCUUUGUUAAAAGUUAUAUUUUUUUUGUGAUUAUUAUAAAUUAUUAAAAAUAUAAGAAUAUUUAAAAUCAAUGGCGGUUAUAUGGAGGGGAUAUAGAUGGAUCACCUACCUUUGAUCCAUACCUUUUUAAACAAUGUAAUAAAAACGUAUUUGACACACUAAAGAUACCAUGCAUUUACUUUAACUAAGCGCAUAACUAGUGAGAUGAGAAUAUACGGAAACUUAUAUUUUACAAAAACGUUUAUACCUCAAAAAUAAGUUAUGUAAUCAAAAAAUGUAAAUGAUCAAUAAUAGUAUUCAAUAUAAAAUUAUACAUACGAUACAGUUAUUACCAUAAAAAUUCACAUAACAUCAAGAAUCAAAAAUAAAAACGAGUAGAGUAGAGACGCGGAAUAAUUGGGACAAAUAUAAAUGAUA